This 7350-nucleotide long non-coding RNA is filed under the name Citrus maxima (pomelo). RNAcentral describes it as "long non-coding RNA (CMAX_LNC001385)". The record is from RNAcentral. Lineage: Eukaryota; Viridiplantae; Streptophyta; Magnoliopsida; Sapindales; Rutaceae.
AAGAAUAAGUAUGAGGCGGUUAAGAAGUUAGUAAAAGCAAAAGAAUAAGCUGGAAACAGAGGAAACAUAUGCACGUGUAACAGAGAGUGAGAGAGAAGCUGCAAACUGACCCAACUACAGACCUGAAAACCCGACCCAGAACCCGCGACCUUGACCCGGCCAACUCUCCCAUUUCCAGCCACCGUUUUGGCCGAGCUUGGUACCAAUCUGAAGCUUAGAAGCCGGUCGUCGUUUCCCUGCCAUCCUCACCGCCGAAACACAACCAGAACGCCGGCGAUCGAAGCUUGAAAACCCGUGACUGUUUUGCUUUGUUCCGCUGGGAUUUUCGCCGGUUUUGGGUGACACCACCAGUUGGAUUUUGUUCCCCACGACUCCCUCUUCCAUUUCCGACCAUCCAUAGCCACCGAGAGUCAUUGUUUUGCCGCCGGUCAAUUGUUAGAAUUCACGGUUGCGGAGCUAGAUUUCGGCGUUGUUACUGCGCAUUGGAGCACACCGCCGGUACCAUUGAACUCAGCGUGAUGGGAACUUUCAGACUUGAGCUUCCCGGCCAACGUUGACCAAAUUUCGGUGACCGUUGACCGGCAAGGGCAUUUCGGUAAUUUCACACUCUGAGGGCAAUUUUGUAAUUUCCGAGCCUAGAGAUAUUUUAGUAAUUCUUGGAAUUGAGGAUAGGAUGUAAUUACGAUUCCGAGGAUAAUUCGGUGAUUUAUGAUUUUAGAGUAUUUUUAUUAUUUACGAACUCGAGGGCAUUUUAGUAAGUUUAUCGACAUGGAAGUUAUAAAUUAUGGAUAGAUGUUUGUUUCGAGUUUAUUACAUAAAUUUAGUCGUAAUUUCAAUUUAUGAAAAAUAAUUAUGUCGUUUCCUUGAUUUAGGAGGAUCCGCGAGCAAGAACCGGUCCACGGACAUGGACGAUAACUGAGCGUGAGCACCAUCACUGUGAGUGGAAUAUACAAAACUUAUUUUCAUAGUUAAUUAUGAUAAUAAAGCAUGUUUGUGAAAUAAGUAUUUUAAAUGUGUUGAUUUAAUGAUUUCCUCGAAAUGGAUUUUACACACGCAUUGAUAUUUUAUUAAAAUGUUUGGUUAAUGAUUUUGCGUAUCGAUUUUGAUAAGUAUGAUAGUAUUUUAAAGAUAAGAAAAGUGGAUUCAAAUGUGGUAUGAUUUAGAGUAUGAUUGAAAGGUAUGUGAAUAUGAGUAUAAUGGUUAUUUUUGAAAUCGUUAGACAAUACCCUUCCCUCUGAAAUAUAAGUGUGCAAUCCAAGAGGGGGGUGAAUUGGUAUUUUAAAAAUUAUCCUAAAAAAUCUACACAACAAUCCAAUCUAACGCCUUAAUAAAUAUGAAAGCAAUAAGUUUAAUGAAAGCACAAUAACAAAUGAGUAAGGGAGAAGAGAAACAAACACACGAAUUUUUACGUGGUUCGGCAAUCCUCGCCUACGUCCACGCCUCCAAGCGAUCCCAGCUUGAGGAUUUCACUAUCCAAGUCUUUCCAAGGCUUCGAACGUUUACAAUUGACAUCAAGGUGUCAAUAAACCUUUACAACUAAGAGAUUAUCUCCCAAUCUGUUCACUCAAAUGUCUCACACACUCAAACACUUACAAUUAAGAUGAAGAAAUGAAAGUUACAACAAAACUCACUCAAAAAGUGGAUAUUCAAAAAUGAAGAACAAGAGAUGAUUCAAUGUUUUGUGAUUUACAAAUUGAAAGCUCAAGAUAUCUCGUGUGCUUUUUGUUUAUGCUUGCUUGAGAGCUUGAAAAUGAGUUGGAUUUGAGUUUAUAUAGUUUGAGCUCAAAAACUAGCCGUUAUGCACAUUUUGGUCAUAGCCGGCUUGCCGUUUAUGGAAUUCAGUUAGCAGCUUUUAUGUUACUGUUAAGGCAAAAAUUUGAAUUUCAGAAUAUCCGGCAUGCCGCUUUUCAUAUCCAGUUAACCACUUUUGAAAUCCAGAUUGCCGCUUGCGAAAUCCGAAUAGUCGUUUAUGCUCCAGAAGCUUACUGCCCAAAAUCUGGAUUGCCGUUUACCAUAUCCGAUUAGUCGCUUGUUACAGUAACUGCUAUAGUGAAAUAUUUUUUAAAUUUACAGUUUGAUCCCAAAACGUUAUAAAAUUAUAUUAUGGCCUAAAAAGUUAUGAAAGCUUUCAAAUAGGUCCCAUUUCAGAAUUUCUAAAACAAUACUUUCUCAAUCCUAAAACUUUCUGAAAUUAUGAUUUCACCCAAAUUAUGUGAAAUUAUAGAAUGACCUAAAAUAUUUAAAUAGUUUCAAAUAGGUCUAAAUCUGAAAUUUUCAAACAAUAUCAAAGGUUUUAAAAUACUUUCAUUUUAGUCCAAAAUACUUUAAUUCCAUAACAUCAUUUUCUUAAAAAGCACAAUUUCAUAAAUCUUUGUUUAAUCAAUACAUGUGGUUUGUUAUCAUCAAAAUCAAUAUCUAUAGCCAUAUAGGCUAACACCCUCCAGAUACAGUGAUACAGAUGAGAUAAGAUAGAAGCCUUUGGGGCCCCUCUGAACACACAUAGAGGGUUUGGGCCGUGUGUUUGGGCAUUUCUGCCUUUUGGGGGCAUAUGCAUGUGGUAUGAUGAUUACAGAGAUACAGAUAUGAGAUACAGACAGAUAUUGAGAUACAUAUUAUACGAAUGAGAUACAGGCCUUUGGGGCCCGUCUAAGUACACACAGAGGCUUUGGGCCGUGUGCUUGGGCGCUUUUGUCCUUUGGGGACUAGAUUAUGCAUGCACACAGAUGAUGAGAUAUGAGAUGAUACUUCCCUGUCUAUCCGUGUAGCUCCGAGGCGUGACGGUACCCAGAUAAUACGUCAUUGCCCGUCCAUUGAGGUCCUGAUCUCGAUGUCGUGAUACCACGACUAGUGAUGAUGUGCUGCGAUGUAACUAGCGAUGUGUGAUGCAAGUGUUGUGAUUUUUGUAUUUAUAUUUUUUUAAUUUAAAAGGGUAUUUUCAGAAUUUAGAAAUUUUAAUGUGGGCAAAUUGAAUAGUCCCAUGAACAAGAGACUGAUUCCCAAACGCCCUGGGAAUUAGUCUCUUAUUCUCGGUUUCCAAUUUGAUGUGGGCUCCAUUAUUCCUAUUCCAAUUCUUAUCUUUAUUUAUAAAGUAAAUGAUGUUGAUGAUUCUGAUUCCUUAAUUUAAGAAGUGAACACACUAUAAUAUUUUUUUUAAAUGCAUCCAUGGCACAAUCUCAUUAGUCCAUUUUUCUUCACGCUUAGAUUCAACUUCAAGAUUCAAUUUGAAGCAAACACAAGUACAAAACAAAUAUAAUAAGCAUUAAUAAGCCUGUGGCAAUCAUACCUUACGCCAGAAGUUAAACAAUGUUCCCAUUCCACGUGUCAGUCUUUGACCAAUCCCCAAACUUUCUUCAUAUUUCCAAAGGAACCCUUGCCAAAUCAAAAUAAUUCCCUUCACUCUACUCAUAUAAAUACUGUCCUCGAUUCAACUGAUGACGACACAUCCUUACAGUCUUUAUUUAGGCAUUUGUUACCUUUAUUGAUUAGAUAACAAACACAGCAAAAUGAGAAGUGUUGGAUUUGAAACUUCAAAUCUAACGACUGGAAAGGAGAGGUAAUGUAUUAGGGGGAGCGUAGGGAAGUGGAACAAAUUCAGACUUGAAAGUUUUCUCUUUCUUGUUUUAAUUUAAUUUACUUAUCCCCAAAUAAUCCAAUGCUUGCAUGACCAUGAAAUUAGUUGUGGUCCUAACGUAAAUUUUAAUAAAUUUGCGUAAAGAUGUCAGAUUUAUUAAAUAUGUGUAAUAAUAAUAAUGACAUUAAUAAAUAAUAAUAACAAGAACAAUAAUAAUGAUGAUGAUGAAAAAUAAUAAUAACAUGGAUAAAUUUUAAUAAUAAUAGUAGUAGUAGUAAUAAUAAUAGUCUUAACAACAACAAUAGCAAUAACAAUAGUAAUAAAAGUAAUAUUGAAAAUGAAAAUAAUAACAACAAAGACAAUAAUAAUAAAUAAUAAUAAUUAAAAUAAUAAAAUAAAUAUAUUUUAUAAUAAUGAUAAUAACAACAUGAAGGACAAUAAUGAUGAUGACAACAAAGACGAAGACGACAAUGACGAUGAUAAUUUAUUAAUUUUAUUAUUAUUAUAAAUAUUGUUAUAUUACAAUUUAUUAUUUAUUAAUUUUUAAUUAUUAUUUAAAUUAAGGAUAAAAUGGGUAUUAGGAAAUUUAGUCGGGGAUAAAAGAAUAUUUAUGGAAGUGGAGUUCUGAUUUCCAACCUACUGGGAAUCAAAACUCUGGUAAUAAUUCCUAAAUUUGACAAGGCCUUAUAUAAUAAGGUAACAAACAUAAGAGCUUUUGUAAUAUAUACACUUUAAAUUUCCUAAUUAAGUGUAUUAUUUAAUUUUUUCCCCUUCGACAUUAAUUUUAAAUUUGUCAAACUUGUUACAAAUUUUUUUGGUGAAGUUGAUGCAACUCGAUUUUUCCGACAUUAUGAGUGGUGGUUGUUAAAUGUUACAUGUUUAUUAAAUAUAUUAUAUUUGGAUUAUUUUAAAUUUGUCACGAUAAUAAAUUGAGACAAAUCGAACGCGAUUAAAGGGUUUUGUAGUCGAAUUUUAUUUUCAACAUGGAUCCGGUAUUAGCUUAAUUUGUAUUAAGCUCUAAAAAAAAAGGGGGCCGAUUCUAUAAAUAGAAAGACGGGGAGGGGGGAGAGAAGAAGCUGAACUGGUUUGACCCGCGACCCGAACCGACUCGCGAACGUGACCCGGUUGGAACUCGCGAUUUCGGCCACCGUUCCGACCAAGCAAGGUGCCAAUGUGAAGCUUAGAAGCCAACCACGACAACUCGUCGUCCUCCCCGUCGAAAACCGACCAGAACGCGGCCGUUGGAAGCUCAAAAAGUUGCAGCCAAAACCCAUCACCAUCGUUGUCGAUUUCACUGGAAUUAGGCUGCGUCACCGGCUGGGUUCUACUCCUCACGUCACCAGUUUCUAUUUCCGACCAGUCCUGUCACCUGAAACGGCCGGAUUGUCGCAGAUCGGCCACUUGUAGGUUCACGGAUUUGGGAGCUCGAUCCGGAGCUGUCACCGCGCAUGGGACCUCACUGCCACGACCAUUGGACUCAGCGUGGUUAAAACUAUCAGACCUGAGCUUCCCAUCGUCGUUGCCUGAACACCGGUCACUGUUGACAGGCAGGGGUAAUUUGGUAAUUUCACAAACUUUGGGGAUAAUUUCGUAAUUUCAAAAAAUGGUGGAUAACUUGGUAAUUUCAUAUUAGGGCAUAUAGGUAAUUUGAGAUUUUGGGGGUAAUUCGGUAUGUUGUUAAGGGCAUUUUGGUAAUUUCGCACUCCAAGGGUAAUUUUGUAAUUUUAGGCCUUAUGGUUAUUUUUGUAAUAUGAAUUGAGGCUAGCUUAGUAAUUUAAAUUUGGUAAAUAUCGAUGUCGGGGCAUUUUGGUAAUUUUAGGACGUAGGAGUAUUUUGGUAAUUUUAUGCAUACAGGACGGACAAAUAUUCGUUUCGAGUUCUAUUGCGUAAAAUUAGUUGUAUUUCAUAUUUAUGGAAAAUGAUUAUGUUGUUUCCUUCAAUUAGAAGGAUUUACGAACGGGAAUUAACCUGCAGACAUUGACGAUACCAAUUUCGAAUAUUGUCACUGUGAAUGGAAUAUACAAAACUUAUUUUCAUAAUAUAUUCUAAUUUUAUGAUACAGUACAAUAUUUUUUAAUAAAUAAAUAUUUAAUGCUCUGAUUUAAUGAUUUUCUAGAAAAUGAAUUCUUAUCUACGUGCUAAUAUUUAUUUAUUAUUGAAAAUGAGUUUGAUUAAUGAUUUUACUAUCAUUUUUAAGUUAAUGCAAGAUAAUAGUUUUAAAGAGAAUUAAGUGAAUUUGAAGGGUUGUUUGCAAAACAUAAAUGAGAUUUAUGUGUGAUUACAUGUUUAUGUAUAUGUGUAUAAAAGGGUUGUUUGCAAAAUCAUUGGGCAGUAUCCUUCUCCUUCAGAUAUAGUGAUCGGGAUGAGAUGAGAGUCCUUUGGGGUUGUCUGAACACACAUAGAGGUUUUGGGUCGUGUGUUUGGGCGCUUUUGCCUUUAGGGGGAUAAUGCAUGCAGUAUAAUUAUUACAGAGAUAUAGGUAUUGAGAUACAAAUAGAUAUUGAGAUAUAGAUGAGAUAGAUAAUACAGAUGGGACAUAAGCCUUUGGGGCCUAUCUAAGUACACACAGAAUCUUUGGAUCGUGUGCUUGGGCGUCUUGUCCUUUGGAGACUAGAUUAUACAUGCACAGAUAUGAUGAGAUAUGAGAUAGCACUUCCCUGUCUAUCCGUGUAGAUUCGGGGCAUGAUGGUUCCUUGACUGUCUGUCCGUUGAGGUUUGGAUAUGAUGAUAUUACUCCCCUGAGUACUUGUUUGGUGAUAGGUUUUCGAUAUUCAAUAUUUGAUAUUAUAAGUGUUAUGAUUUCAUUGAUUUUAUGAAGAUUUAUGCAAUAUUGUUAUUGCAAUGCAUGGUUUGAAUUAAAUAAGUUUAUUUAAGUCUUAUGAUAUUUUGAUGAAAUUGUUUAGAGAAAAAUUAAAUUAUUUUAAAUAAGUUUAUUUUCAAAAACUACUAUCCGCUCACUGAGUUUUAUACUCAUUUCAUUUUUAUUAUAUUCCCUCCCCUCCCACAAGAGACUUGCAGGUACAUCAGUCGACCCAGCAACGAUAUAUUUGAUAUUAUGACCACGUGAUGGUGUUAGGAAUCAUAGAUAUUUUGCUGGGAUAUUUUGGAUUGUAUUAUUUUGUUAUAAUUUGUGAUUAAGGAUAACCAUUGUAUUUUGACAUUAGAAUUGUGUUAGUUGAUAUCUGGUAUUUUGAUUGAGGAAGUUGGUUGUGGGUGCUAGUAGUAUUUGGAAUUAUUUUUGAGAGUGUUGUUUUGUUAAUUUUCAGAUUUGGGAUAUUAUAUUUAUACGGGAGACUCUGACGAAUUUUUUGGUAGAAUCGUUAUUGAUUAAAUUAUUUUCUGUUCGAUUUGAUAGUUUUAAAUAGACUCGCCCUGAGGGUGCGGGCAGAUCGUGUCAGUUUCAACAAGCAUACCAUUAAGAUUUUGGCACUUGUAGCUGGUACAAAUAUAAGUUUACCAGUUGGAGUCGAUUGAAAAGAUGAUCAAAUCGUAAAAUAAUAAAUGUCUUUAAUUUUAUAAAUUUUAAAAGUGAAAUCACAAUCCCUUAUAGGGGUGUUCACGGAUUGAAUUUUGCGGAUUAGACAUCAAUUCAUAUCCAAUUCAUGAUUUUACAGAUUAUAAAUUUUUUAAUCCAAUCAAAUCUACGAAUUGGUGAAAUUCAUUUCAAAUCUAAUCCAUACGUCUACAAAUUGGAUGCGGAUUUGACCUAAUUAUAUCCAAUCACCAUUUUGCAGAUCGGUUUGUGGACUAAAAAUUUUUAAUCGUAUCCCAUCCACGAA